AGAGUUUGAUUCUGGCUCAGGGCGAACGCUGGCGGCGUGCCUGACACAUGCAAGUCGAACGGGCGAGGUCUUCGGACCGAGCUAGUGGCGAACGGGUGAGUAACACGUGGAUACAUGUCCCGAAGUGGGGGAUAACCAUCUGAAAAGGUGGCUAAUACCGCAUAAGCCUGAAGAGGGAAAGCUACAAAAGUGGUGCUUUGGGAGUGGUCCGCGGUCCAUCAGCUAGUUGGUGAGGUAAAGGCUCACCAAGGCAACGACGGAUAGCCGACGUGAGAGCGUGGUCGGCCACAAGGACACUGAGAUACGGGUCCUACUCCUACGGGAGGCAGCAGUGCGGAAUUUUGGGCAAUGGGCGAAAGCCUGACCCAGCGACGUCGCGUGCGGGAUGAAGGUCUUCGGAUCGUAAACCGCUGUGGUAAGGGAAGAAAGCCUUAAGGAAUGAAAAGCCUUGGGGAGGGACGGUACCUUACUAGGAAGCCCCGGCUAACUACGUGCCAGCAGCCGCGGUAAUACGUAGGGGGCGAGCGUUGCCCGGAAUCACUGGGUGUAAAGGGAGCGUAGGCGGCCAUUUAAGUCGACUGUGAAAAGCAGGAGCUCAACUCCAGUCUUGCGGUCGAAACUGGAUGGCUUGAGGACGGUAGAGGAAGACGGAACUGCCAGUGUAGGGGUAAAAUCCUUAGAUAUUGGCAGGAACGCCGGUGACGAAGGUGGUCUUCUGGGCCGGACCUGACGCUGAGGCUCGAAAGCCAGGGGAGCGAACGGGAUUAGAUACCCUGGUAGUC
This 782-nucleotide ribosomal RNA is filed under the name uncultured Kosmotogaceae bacterium. Its description in RNAcentral is "bacterial SSU rRNA". It matches the Rfam family "Bacterial small subunit ribosomal RNA", at positions 8 to 795 of the family's 1533-position model. Lineage: Bacteria; Thermotogati; Thermotogota; Thermotogae; Kosmotogales; Kosmotogaceae. The record is from RNAcentral.